Molecule: non-coding RNA, 372 nt
Organism: Pelobates cultripes (western spadefoot toad)
Lineage: Eukaryota; Metazoa; Chordata; Amphibia; Anura; Pelobatidae
Source: the annotation of a GenBank genome assembly
AAUGUAUUGCCUGCUCUCCUGUACUGCUGAGGUUUGCUACCAACUAGGUGGAUUUGGCUAUGGAGCUUGUCUAGUGCCCUCUGUUGGUAGCAACAGCAAUAUGCACGACCUGAAUAGCAAGACUGGUUUAUUUACAUAUUCGGGUAGAUUUGCAUAUUGCUAAUUCUGCAGGCACGUGAGAUAUUUUCUGUUAAAUAUUGUCUCCCCCACCCCUUUAAAAAUGUGCCAUUGUGUUAUAAUAAGUCACUGUAUGUUGCCUGCUAUGAUUUGGCUGUUUGUAAUUGUAUUGAGUUUUCACAGCAUUGUUAAUGUAAUGACCAUAUCGGCUAGUCCCAAGCAAAAUAGAGGUUUAGACAGUUCUUCUUGAUCCCU